This 492-nucleotide ribosomal RNA is filed under the name uncultured bacterium. Its description in RNAcentral is "partial 16S ribosomal RNA". It matches the Rfam family "Bacterial small subunit ribosomal RNA", at positions 29 to 507 of the family's 1533-position model. The record is from RNAcentral.
AGUGAACGCUGGCGGUAGGCCUAACACAUGCAAGUCGAACGGCAGCACAGUAAGAGCUUGCUCUUACGGGUGGCGAGUGGCGGACGGGUGAGGAAUACAUCGGAAUCUACUUUUUCGUGGGGGAUAACGUAGGGAAACUUACGCUAAUACCGCAUACGACCUACGGGUGAAAGCAGGGGAUCUUCGGACCUUGCGCGAUUGAAUGAGCCGAUGUCGGAUUAGCUAGUUGGCGGGGUAAAGGCCCACCAAGGCGACGAUCCGUAGCUGGUCUGAGAGGAUGAUCAGCCACCCUGGAACUGAGACACGGUCCCGACUCCUACGGGAGGCAGCAGUGGGGAAUAUUGGACGAUGGGCGCAAGCCUGAUCCAGCCAUACCGCGUGGGUGAAGAAGGCCUUCUGGUUGUAAAGCCCUUUUGUUGGGAAAGAAAAGCAGCAGGUUAAUCCCCCGCUGUUCUGACGGUACCCAAAGAAUAAGCACCGGCUAACUUCGUG